RNAcentral lists this ribosomal RNA (2904 nucleotides) under Gammaproteobacteria bacterium. RNAcentral's name for it is "23S ribosomal RNA". It matches the Rfam family "Bacterial large subunit ribosomal RNA". The record is from RNAcentral. Lineage: Bacteria; Pseudomonadati; Pseudomonadota; Gammaproteobacteria.
GGUCAAGCAAAUAAGCGCACACGGUGGAUGCCUUGGCGAUAAGAGGCGAUGAAGGACGUGGUAGUCUGCGAUAAGCCUCGGCGAGCUGACAAACUAGCUUUGACCCGGGGAUUUCCGAAUGGGGAAACCCACCCGCUUUGCGGGUAUCUUGCGCUGAAUACAUAGGCGCAAGAGGCGAACCCGGGGAACUGAAACAUCUAAGUACCCGGAGGAAAAGAAAUCAACCGAGAUUCCCCCAGUAGCGGCGAGCGAACGGGGAACAGCCCUUAAGCUUUGCAAGUUCUAGUGGAAUGUUCUGGAAAGUUCGGCCAUAGACGGUGACAGCCCCGUACACGAAAGGGCUUGCAAAAGUGAAAUCGAGUAGGACGGAGCACGAGAAACUUUGUCUGAACAUGGGGGGACCAUCCUCCAAGGCUAAAUACUCCUUAUCGACCGAUAGUGAACCAGUACCGUGAGGGAAAGGCGAAAAGAACCCCUGUUAGGGGAGUGAAACAGAACCUGAAACCGUGUGCGUACAAGCAGUGGGAGCCCGUUUUCGAACGGGUGACUGCGUACCUUUUGUAUAAUGGGUCAGCGACUUACAUUUUGUAGCAAGGUUAACCGCAUAGGGGAGCCGCAGAGAAAUCGAGUCUUAAUAGGGCGCUUAGUUGCAGGAUGUAGACCCGAAACCGGGCGAUCUAGCCAUGGCCAGGUUGAAGGUCGGGUAAUGCCGACUGGAGGACCGAACCAACUUAUGUUGAAAAAUGAGUGGAUGAGCUGUGGCUAGGAGUGAAAGGCUAACCAAGCCCGGAGAUAGCUGGUUCUCCCCGAAAACUAUUUAGGUAGUGCCUCGUGUUUCACUUCCGGGGGUAGAGCACUGUAAUGGCUAGGGCCGCAUCUCGCGGUACCAACCCAUUGCAAACUCCGAAUACCGGAAAGUGCAAUCACGGGAGACAGACGGCGGGAGAUAAGUUUCGUCGUCGAAAGGGAAACAGCCCAGACCGCCGGCUAAGGUCCCCAAACACGUCUCAGUGGGAAACGAUGUGGGAAGUCUCAGACAGCCAGGAUGUUGGCUUAGAAGCAGCCAUCAUUUAAAGAAAGCGUAACAGCUCACUGGUCGAGUCGUCCUGCGCGGAAGAUAUACCGGGGCUCAAGACGUGUACCGAAGCCGCGGGUGCGUGCAUUCUUCGGAGUGCGCGCACGGUAGGGGAGCGUUCCGUAGCCCGUUGAAGGCGUGCCGUGAGGCAUGCUGGAGGCAUCGGAAGUGAGAAUGCUGACAUGAGUAGCGACAAUGCGGGUGAGAGGCCCGCACGCCGAAAGCCCAAGGUUUCCUGCGCAACGCUAAUCGGCGCAGGGUGAGUCGACCCCUAAGGCGAGGCCGAAAGGCGUAGUCGAUGGGAAUCAGGUUAAUAUUCCUGAACCGAAUAUAACUGCGACGGGGUGACGGAGAAGGCUAGGUCGGCCGGGUGUCGGAUAUCCCGGUUUAAGCGUGUAGGUUGGGAGCCCAGGAAAAUCCGGGCUUCCUUAAGACUGAGACGUGACGACGAGCGCCCUAACGGGCGCGAAGCGAUUGAUGCCAUGCUUCCAGGAAAACCCUCUAAGCUUCAGGUUGUAUUCGAUCGUACCCCAAACCGACACAGGUGGGCGGGGAGAGAAUCCCAAGGCGUUGAGAGAACUCUGGUGAAGGAACUCGGCAAAAUGACACCGUAACUUCGGGAGAAGGUGUGCCUCCGGUAGGUGAAGGGCUUCGCGCCCGGAGCCGAUGGGGGUUGCAACAAAGAGGUGGCUGCGACUGUUUACUAAAAACAUAGCACUCUGCAAACUCGCAAGAGGAAGUAUAGGGUGUGACGCCUGCCCGGUGCCGGAAGGUUAAGUGAUGGGGUUAGCCCUUGGGCGAAGCUCUUGAUCGAAGCCCCGGUGAACGGCGGCCGUAACUAUAACGGUCCUAAGGUAGCGAAAUUCCUUGUCGGGUAAGUUCCGACCUGCACGAAUGGCGUAACGAUGGCCACACUGUCUCCACCAGAGGCUCAGCGAAAUUGAACUCGCUGUGAAGAUGCAGCGUACCCGCGGCUAGACGGAAAGACCCCGUGAACCUUUACUACAGCUUCACACUGGACUUUGAGCACGCAUGUGCAGGAUAGGUGGAAGGCUUUGAAGCGGAGACGCCAGUCUUCGUGGAGCCAACCUUGAGAUACCACCCUUGCUUGUUUGGGGCCCUAACCGAGGCCCGUGAUCCGGGUCCGGGACCAUGUGUGGCGGGUAGUUUGACUGGGGCGGUCUCCUCCCAAAGAGUAACGGAGGAGCGCGAAGGUGCUCUAAGUGCGGUCGGAAAUCGCACGGCUAGUGCAAAGGCACAAGAGCGCUUGACUGCGAGACAGACACGUCGAGCAGGUGCGAAAGCAGGUCUUAGUGAUCCGGUGGUUCUGUAUGGAAGGGCCAUCGCUCAACGGAUAAAAGGUACUCCGGGGAUAACAGGCUGAUACCGCCCAAGAGUUCACAUCGACGGCGGUGUUUGGCACCUCGAUGUCGGCUCAUCACAUCCUGGGGCUGUAGCCGGUCCCAAGGGUAUGGCUGUUCGCCAUUUAAAGUGGUACGCGAGCUGGGUUUAGAACGUCGUGAGACAGUUUGGUCCCUAUCUGCCGUGGGCGCCGGAGACUUGAGAGGAGCUGCUCCCAGUACGAGAGGACCGGAGUGGACGUACCUCUGGUGUUCCGGUUGUGAUGCCAAUCGCAUUGCCGGGUAGCUAUGUACGGACGGGAUAACCGCUGAAAGCAUCUAAGCGGGAAGCCCCCCUCGAGAUUAGGUCUCCCCGGGGCCUUGCGCCCCCUGAAGGGUCGUUGAAGACUACAACGUUGAUAGGCUGGGUGUGGAAGUUCAGCAAUGAAUGAAGCUAACCAGUACUAAUUGCCCGUGCGGCUUGACCAU